UAUGAUGUCUUCCCAAUUCUCCAAAUCCAAAAUGUGUUAUCCAGACUUCCAGUUCCUCCACAACAGCUUCACUCCCAACUCCCAAUGCCUCCUGUCCCCUAUCACAAUUAAUUUGACGGUCCAAAGAGGAUUAAAGGCAUGGUUAGCUAAGCUCUUAAAGAAACCUACUGCGGUUUGAACACUCGGAUAUAUAGUGCCAAUAUAUAUAGGC
Molecule: long non-coding RNA, 211 nt
Filed under: Oryza brachyantha (malo sina)
Lineage: Eukaryota; Viridiplantae; Streptophyta; Magnoliopsida; Poales; Poaceae
Description: long non-coding RNA (OBRA_LNC001047)
Source: RNAcentral